CCUACGGGAGGCAGCAGUGGGGAAUUUUGGACAAUGGGCGCAAGCCUGAUCCAGCAAUGCCGCGUGAGUGAAGAAGGCCUUCGGGUUGUAAAGCUCUUUUGUCAGGGAAGAAACGGUGGGGGCUAAUAUCUCCUACUAAUGACGGUACCUGAAGAAUAAGCACCGGCUAACUACGUGCCAGCAGCCGCGGUAAUACGUAGGGUGCAAGCGUUAAUCGGAAUUACUGGGCGUAAAGCGUGCGCAGGCGGUUUUGUAAGUCUGUCGUGAAAGCCCCGGGCUCAACCUGGGAAUUGCGAUGGAGACUGCAAGGCUUGAAUCUGGCAGAGGGGGGUAGAAUUCCACGUGUAGCAGUGAAAUGCGUAGAGAUGUGGAGGAACACCGAUGGCGAAGGCAGCCCCCUGGGUCAAGAUUGACGCUCAUGCACGAAAGCGUGGGGAGCAAACAGGAUUAGGUACCCUGGUAGUCCACGCCCUAAACGAUGUCUACUAGUUGUCGGGUUUUAAUUAACUUGGUAACGCAGCUAACGCGUGAAGUAGACCGCCUGGGGAUACGGUCGCAAGNUUAAAACNCAAAUGAAUUGACCGGNUGNGAGNGCGAGACGACGACGAGGAGGAGG
RNAcentral lists this ribosomal RNA (616 nucleotides) under uncultured bacterium. RNAcentral describes it as "bacterial SSU rRNA". It matches the Rfam family "Bacterial small subunit ribosomal RNA", at positions 338 to 947 of the family's 1533-position model. The record is from RNAcentral.